Molecule: ribosomal RNA, 440 nt
Filed under: uncultured bacterium
Lineage: Bacteria
Description: partial 16S ribosomal RNA
Rfam family: Bacterial small subunit ribosomal RNA
Source: RNAcentral
CCUACGGGUGGCAGCAGUGGGGAAUAUUGCACAAUGGGGGAAACCCUGAUGCAGCGACGCCGCGUGAGUGAAGAAGUAUUUCGGUAUGUAAAGCUCUAUCAGCAGGGAAGAAAAUGACGGUACCUGAUUAAGAAGCCCCGGCUAACUACGUGCCAGCAGCCGCGGUCAUACGUAGGGGGCAAGCGUUAUCCGGAUUUACAGGGUGGAAAGGGAGCGUAGACGGCAGCGCAAGUCUGGAGUGAAAUGCCGGGGCUUAACCCCGGAACUGCUUUGGAAACUGUGCAGCUAGAGUGCAGGAGAGGUAAGCGGAAUUCCUAGUGUAGCGGUGAAAUGCGUAGAUAUUAGGAGGAACACCAGUGGCGAAGGCGGCUUACUGGACUGUAACUGACGUUGAGGCUCGAAAGCGUGGGGAGCAAACAGGAUUAGAUACCCGAGUAGUC